Regulatory RNA element from Clostridiales bacterium KLE1615, 185 nucleotides. It matches the Rfam family "FMN riboswitch aptamer (RFN element)". Rfam says of the family: The RFN element is a highly conserved domain that is found frequently in the 5'-untranslated regions of prokaryotic mRNAs that encode for flavin mononucleotide (FMN) biosynthesis and transport proteins. The record is from Rfam. NCBI's taxonomy places the organism in Bacteria, Bacillati, Bacillota, Clostridia, Eubacteriales.
AAUAUUCUUUGGGGCGGGGUGUAAAUCCCCACUGGCGGUAAAGUCCGCGACCCGCAUUUUUGCGGUUGAUUCGGUGAGUGCAAAGAUAGUGAUGAACAAUUCUUCACAACUCCGAAACCAACAGUAAAGUGAUGCAGCAUUAUUAGCAAAAGCUGUGUCCAAAGUCUGGAUGGGAAAAGAAAGAG